CCUAUUAUGUCUGUUUGUUUUGUUCACAAGUUGUUGUCAAUGUUAUGCAAUUUUAUGCGACUGUCAUACAAGUGAGAGGUUUAGCUGGUUACACAACAAGGUUUAAUCCAUUUUUUUCUACUAAAGAAAAUACCUGUACCAAGGUAGGAAUAUGUCAGUUGUUGUCCAUUCGUUUGAUGUGUUUGCGGUUUUGAUUAUGCUAUUUGAUAAGGGA
Molecule: long non-coding RNA, 214 nt
Filed under: Mytilus galloprovincialis (Mediterranean mussel)
Lineage: Eukaryota; Metazoa; Mollusca; Bivalvia; Mytilida; Mytilidae
Source: RNAcentral